UGGGGAAUUUUGGACAAUGGGCGAAAGCCUGAUCCAGCCAUUCCGCGUGCAGGAUGAAGGCCCUCGGGUUGUAAACUGCUUUUGUACAGAACGAAAAGGUCUCUAUUAAUACUAGGGGCUCAUGACGGUACUGUAAGAAUAAGCACCGGCUAACUACGUGCCAGCAGCCGCGGUAAUACGUAGGGUGCAAGCGUUAAUCGGAAUUACUGGGCGUAAAGCGUGCGCAGGCGGUUAUAUAAGUCAGAUGUGAAAUCCCCGGGCUCAACCUGGGAACUGCAUUUGAGACUGUAUAGCUAGAGUACGGUAGAGGGGGAUGGAAUUCCGCGUGUAGCAGUGAAAUGCGUAGAUAUGCGGAGGAACACCGAUGGCGAAGGCAAUCCCCUGGACCUGUACUGACGCUCAUGCACGAAAGCGUGGGGAGCAAACAGGAUUAGAUACCCUGGUAGUCCACGCCCUAAACGAUGUCAACUGGUUGUUGGGUCUUAACUGACUCAGUAACGAAGCUAACGCGUGAAGUUGACCGCCUGGGGAGUACGGCCGCAAGGUUG
RNAcentral lists this ribosomal RNA (548 nucleotides) under uncultured prokaryote. RNAcentral describes it as "bacterial SSU rRNA". It matches the Rfam family "Bacterial small subunit ribosomal RNA", at positions 355 to 896 of the family's 1533-position model. The record is from RNAcentral.